GACGAACGCUGGCGGCGCGCCUAACACAUGCAAGUCGAACGAGCGAGAGAGAGCUUGCUUUCUUGAGCGAGUGGCGAACGGGUGAGUAACGCGUGAGGAACCUGCCUCAAAGAGGGGGACAACAGUUGGAAACGACUGCUAAUACCGCAUAAGCCCACGACCCGGCAUCGGGUUGAGGGAAAAGGAGCAAUCCGCUUUGAGAUGGCCUCGCGUCCGAUUAGCUAGUUGGUGAGGUAACGGCCCACCAAGGCGACGAUCGGUAGCCGGACUGAGAGGUUGAACGGCCACAUUGGGACUGAGACACGGCCCAGACUCCUAAGGGAGGCAGCAGUGGGGAAUAUUGCACAAUGGGGGAAACCCUGAUGCAGCGACGCCGCGUGGAGGAAGAAGGUCUUCGGAUUGUAAACUCCUGUUGUUGAGGAAGAUAAUGACGGUACUCAACAAGGAAGUGACGGCUAACUACGUG
Molecule: ribosomal RNA, 466 nt
Filed under: uncultured bacterium
Lineage: Bacteria
Description: partial 16S ribosomal RNA
Rfam family: Bacterial small subunit ribosomal RNA
Source: RNAcentral